RNAcentral lists this long non-coding RNA (445 nucleotides) under Phaseolus vulgaris (common bean). RNAcentral describes it as "long non-coding RNA (PVUL_LNC003498)". The record is from RNAcentral. Lineage: Eukaryota; Viridiplantae; Streptophyta; Magnoliopsida; Fabales; Fabaceae.
UACUCGUGGCCUUGUCUGAGUAUAAUAGUAAGUUGAUACCUUGAUGGGGCCAACUGAAUUUAGAUUAAGCUAGUUGACAUUUCAGCAAAAUUGUGAAUGCAAGUGUUGUGUGAAUAGCAUUAUUUCUUGAAAGAAUAACUACUGACAAAUGGAAAACUUCUUAGAAAAAGGAUCAUGUAUAAAAUAGUUUCUGCAUUUGGCCAAUUCAAAGUGAUUUUUUGACUGACAUUUUUAAAGCUAGACUCCACCAAGUAGAUUUUUGUCAAACCAACUAAAUCCACGGAUCCAAUGCAAAAACUGAUUAAGCAUCAUAUUUACCAAGACCUGGCUCCAUGCAACUAAUUUAAUAUUUAUAACAAUGAUGUCCAGAGAAGUAAAAUGAAGGGGUAAAAACCAAACCUAUUAGAUAAACAUCUAGAGUUUGAGAAGCAGUGCAGUAAAUUUC